RNAcentral lists this ribosomal RNA (936 nucleotides) under Salmonella enterica. RNAcentral's name for it is "partial 23S ribosomal RNA". It matches the Rfam family "Bacterial large subunit ribosomal RNA", at positions 1260 to 2179 of the family's 2925-position model. The record is from RNAcentral. Lineage: Bacteria; Pseudomonadati; Pseudomonadota; Gammaproteobacteria; Enterobacterales; Enterobacteriaceae.
GUCGUGAGGCAUGCUGGAGGUAUCAGAAGUGCGAAUGCUGACAUAAGUAACGAUAAAGCGGGUGAAAAGCCCGCUCGCCGGAAGACCAAGGGUUCCUGUCCAACGUUAAUCGGGGCAGGGUGAGUCGACCCCUAAGGCGAGGCCGAAAGGCGUAGUCGAUGGGAAACGGGUUAAUAUUCCCGUACUUGGUGUUACUGCGAAGGGGGGACGGAGAAGGCUAUGUUGGCCGGGCGACGGUUGUCCCGGUUUAAGCGUGUAGGUGUGUGUUCCAGGUAAAUCCGGUUCACUUUAACACUGAGGCGUGACGACGAGGCACUACGGUGCUGAAGCAACAAAUGCCCUGCUUCCAGGAAAAGCCUCUAAGCAUCAGGUAACAUCAAAUCGUACCCCAAACCGACACAGGUGGUCAGGUAGAGAAUACCAAGGCGCUUGAGAGAACUCGGGUGAAGGAACUAGGCAAAAUGGUGCCGUAACUUCGGGAGAAGGCACGCUGACACGUAGGUGAAGUGAUUUACUCAUGGAGCUGAAGUCAGUCGAAGAUACCAGCUGGCUGCAACUGUUUAUUAAAAACACAGCACUGUGCAAACACGAAAGUGGACGUAUACGGUGUGACGCCUGCCCGGUGCCGGAAGGUUAAUUGAUGGGGUCAGCGCAAGCGAAGCUCCUGAUCGAAGCCCCGGUAAACGGCGGCCGUAACUAUAACGGUCCUAAGGUAGCGAAAUUCCUUGUCGGGUAAGUUCCGACCUGCACGAAUGGCGUAAUGAUGGCCAGGCUGUCUCCACCCGAGACUCAGUGAAAUUGAACUCGCUGUGAAGAUGCAGUGUACCCGCGGCAAGACGGAAAGACCCCGUGAACCUUUACUAUAGCUUGACACUGAACAUUGAGCCUUGAUGUGUAGGAUAGGUGGGAGGCUUUGAAGUGUGGACGCCAGUCUGC